UCCCUGGUGGUCCAGUGGUUAAGACUCUGCACUUCCACUGCGGGGGUGGGGGGGAGGCCGCGGGGCGGGUGCAGGUUCAAUCCCUGGUUGGGGAA
This 95-nucleotide transfer RNA is filed under the name Ovis aries (sheep). It matches the Rfam family "tRNA". Rfam says of the family: Transfer RNA (tRNA) molecules are approximately 80 nucleotides in length. Their secondary structure includes four short double-helical elements and three loops (D, anti-codon, and T loops). Further hydrogen bonds mediate the characteristic L-shaped molecular structure. tRNAs have two regions of fundamental functional importance: the anti-codon, which is responsible for specific mRNA codon recognition, and the 3' end, to which the tRNAs corresponding amino acid is attached (by aminoacyl-tRNA synthetases). tRNAs cope with the degeneracy of the genetic code in two manners: having more than one tRNA (with a specific anti-codon) for a particular amino acid; and 'wobble' base-pairing, i.e. permitting non-standard base-pairing at the 3rd anti-codon position. The record is from Rfam by way of RNAcentral. Lineage: Eukaryota; Metazoa; Chordata; Mammalia; Artiodactyla; Bovidae.